RNAcentral lists this non-coding RNA (46 nucleotides) under Trypanosoma brucei brucei. Lineage: Eukaryota; Euglenozoa; Kinetoplastea; Trypanosomatida; Trypanosomatidae. The record is from RNAcentral.
AUCAAACAAACAAAGUAAUAGAAAGUCAGAGAUUGAUGUUAAAUAU